Molecule: ribosomal RNA, 590 nt
Filed under: uncultured bacterium
Lineage: Bacteria
Description: bacterial SSU rRNA
Rfam family: Bacterial small subunit ribosomal RNA
Source: RNAcentral
CCUACGGGAGGCAGCAGUGGGGAAUUUUGGGCAAUGGCCGAAAGGCUGACCCAGCGACGCCGCGUGCGGGAGGACGCCCUUCGGGGUGUAAACCGCUGUCAGGGGGGAAGAACGGCGGAGGGGAGAAUACCUCUUCCGCGUGACGGUACCCCCAAAGGAAGCGCCGGCUAACUCUGUGCCAGCAGCCGCGGUAAGACAGAGGGCGCGAGCGUUGUUCGGAAUCACUGGGCGUAAAGCGCGCGCAGGCGGACCUGGCAAGUCUGGAGUGAAGUCUCGCCGCUCAACGGCGAGGCUGCUUUGGAAACUGCGGGUCUGGGGACCGGUAGAGGCUGGUAGAAUUGCAGGUGUAGCGGUGGAAUGCGUAGAGAUCUGCAAGAAUACCCGUGGCGAAGGCGGCCAGCUGGGCCGGAUCCGACGCUGAGGCGCGAAAGCGUGGGGAGCAAACAGGAUUAGAUGCCCUGGUAGUCCACGCCGUAAACGAUGGGCACUAGGUGCCGGGGGGAGCGACCCCUUCGGUGCCGCAGCUAACGCGAUAAGUGCCCCGCCUGGGGAGUACGGCCGCAAGGCUGAAACUCAAAGGAAUUGACGGA